UACGUAGGGUGCGAGCGUUGUCCGGAAUUAUUGGGCGUAAAGGGCUCGUAGGCGGUUUGUCGCGUCGGGAGUGAAAACUCAGGGCUUAACCCUGAGCCUGCUUCCGAUACGGGCAGACUAGAGGUAUGCAGGGGAGAACGGAAUUCCUGGUGUAGCGGUGAAAUGCGCAGAUAUCAGGAGGAACACCGGUGGCGAAGGCGGUUCUCCGGGCAUUACCUGACGCUGAGGAGCGAAAGUGUGGGGAGCGAACAGG
Molecule: ribosomal RNA, 253 nt
Filed under: uncultured bacterium
Lineage: Bacteria
Description: partial 16S ribosomal RNA
Rfam family: Bacterial small subunit ribosomal RNA
Source: RNAcentral